RNAcentral lists this ribosomal RNA (492 nucleotides) under uncultured bacterium. RNAcentral describes it as "partial 16S ribosomal RNA". It matches the Rfam family "Bacterial small subunit ribosomal RNA", at positions 29 to 507 of the family's 1533-position model. The record is from RNAcentral.
AGUGAACGCUGGCGGUAGGCCUAACACAUGCAAGUCGAACGGCAGCACAGUAAGAGCUUGCUCUUACGGGUGGCGAGUGGCGGACGGGUGAGGAAUACAUCGGAAUCUACUUUUUCGUGGGGGAUAACGUAGGGAAACUUACUCUAAUACCGCAUACGACCUACGGGUGAAAGCAGGGGAUCUUCGGACCUUGCGCGAUUGAAUGAGCCGAUGUCGGAUUAGCUAGUUGGCGGGGUAAAGGCCCACCAAGGCGACGAUCCGUAGCUGGUCUGAGAGGAUGAUCGGCCACACUGGAACUGAGACACGGCCCAGACUCCUACGGGAGGCAGCAGUGGGGAAUAUUGGACAAUGGGCGCAAGCCUGAUCCAGCCAUACCGCGUGGGUGAAGAAGGCCUUCGGGUUGUAAAGCCCUUUUGUUGGGAAAGAAAAGCAGCAGGUUAAUACCCCGCUGUUCUGACGGUACACAAAGAAUAAGCACCGGCUAACUUCGUG